This 239-nucleotide long non-coding RNA is filed under the name Prunus persica (peach). RNAcentral's name for it is "long non-coding RNA (PPER_LNC006117)". The record is from RNAcentral. Lineage: Eukaryota; Viridiplantae; Streptophyta; Magnoliopsida; Rosales; Rosaceae.
UGGAAGUUGACGUAUAUAAUAUGAGCACAAUUUCAUACAAAUGUACACUUAACAACGGUGAGAAAACAAUUGAAUUAUCGUAAUGAAGUAGAGCUUUGUGUAUUCUUACCCUUGAGCUAAUCCAUUCCGUAUCAUCAAUCAGUUUGUAGAAAAACACAAGGCCCACUAAACAAGAUUCCAGCUGCACCUUUGCACUACAAUAGGCAAACUUGCAACGGUGAAUUUUGUACUCAUCUUAU